CCAAACUUGGUCAUUUAGAGGAAGUAAAAGUCGUAACAAGGUCUCCGUAGGUGAACCUGCGGAGGGAUCAUUACAGAGUGUAAAAACUCCCUCAACCCACUGUAAACUUUACCUGUCUGUUGCUUCGGCAGGCGGCCCCAGGGCGGGGCCGUAGCUGCUGUGCAGCGCCUGCCGGAGGACCAAAAACUCUUGUUUAUUAUGUUACUCUGAGUAAAAAGACAAAUUAGUCAAAACCUUCAACAACGGAUCUCUUGGUUCUGGCAUCGAUGAAGAACGCAGC
This 280-nucleotide unclassified non-coding RNA is filed under the name uncultured fungus. Its description in RNAcentral is "partial contains small subunit ribosomal RNA, internal transcribed spacer 1, and 5.8S ribosomal RNA". The stretch from base 1 to 73 matches the Rfam family "Eukaryotic small subunit ribosomal RNA", at positions 1759 to 1831 of the family's 1831-position model. The record is from RNAcentral. Lineage: Eukaryota; Fungi.